GCUGGUGUAGCUCAGCUGGUAGAGCAGCUGAUUUGUAAUCAGCAGGUCGGGGGUUCGAAUCCGUC
This 65-nucleotide transfer RNA is filed under the name Oscillospiraceae bacterium. RNAcentral's name for it is "tRNA-Thr". It matches the Rfam family "tRNA", at positions 1 to 63 of the family's 71-position model. From Rfam's summary of the family: Transfer RNA (tRNA) molecules are approximately 80 nucleotides in length. Their secondary structure includes four short double-helical elements and three loops (D, anti-codon, and T loops). The record is from RNAcentral. Lineage: Bacteria; Bacillati; Bacillota; Clostridia; Eubacteriales; Oscillospiraceae.